UUAAGCGACUAAGCGUACACGGUGGAUGCCCUGGCAGUCAGAGGCGAUGAAGGACGUGCUAAUCUGCGAAAAGCGUCGGUAAGGUGAUAUGAACCGUUACAGCCGGCGAUGUCCGAAUGGGGAAACCCAGUGUGAUUCGUCACACUAUCGUUAACUGAAUACAUAGGUUAACGAGGCGAACCGGGAGAACUGAAACAUCUAAGUACCCCGAGGAAAAGAAAUCAACCGAGAUUCCCCCAGUAGCGGCGAGCGAACGGGGAGCAGCCCAGAGUCUGAAUCAGCUUGUGUGUUAGUGGAACGGUCUGGAAAGUCCGACGGUACAGGGUGAUAGUCCCGUACACCAAAAUGCACAGGUUGUGAACUCGAAGAGUAGGGCGGGACACGUGGUAUCCUGUCUGAAUAUGGGGGGACCAUCCUCCAAGGCUAAAUACUCCUGACUGACCGAUAGUGAACCAGUACCGUGAGGGAAAGGCGAAAAGAACCCCGGCGAGGGGAGUGAAAAAGAACCUGAAACCGUGUACGUACAAGCAGUGGGAGCACCUUCGGGUGUGACUGCGUACCUUUUGUAUAAUGGGUCAGCGACUUAUAUUCUGUAGCAAGGUUAACCGUAUAGGGGAGCCGCAGGGAAACCGAGUCUUAACUGGGCGUUAAGUUGCAGGGUAUAGACCCGAAACCCGGUGAUCUAGCCAUGGGCAGGUUGAAGGUUGGGUAACACUAACUGGAGGACCGAACCGACUAAUGUUGAAAAAUUAGCGGAUGACUUGUGGCUGGGGGUGAAAGGCCAAUCAAACCGGGAGAUAGCUGGUUCUCCCCGAAAGCUAUUUAGGUAGCGCCUCGUGAACUCAUCUUCGGGGGUAGAGCACUGUUUCGGCUAGGGGGUCAUCCCGACUUACCAACCCGAUGCAAACUACGAAUACCGAAGAAUGUUAUCACGGGAGACACACGGCGGGUGCUAACGUCCGUCGUGAAGAGGGAAACAACCCAGACCGCCAGCUAAGGUCCCAAAGUCAUGGUUAAGUGGGAAACGAUGUGGGAAGGCACAGACAGCCAGGAUGUUGGCUUAGAAGCAGCCAUCAUUUAAAGAAAGCGUAAUAGCUCACUGGUCGAGUCGGCCUGCGCGGAAGAUGUAACGGGGCUAAACCAUGCACCGAAGCUGCGGCAGCGACACUAUGUGUUGUUGGGUAGGGGAGCGUUCUGUAAGCCUGCGAAGGUGUGCUGUGAGGCAUGCUGGAGGUAUCAGAAGUGCGAAUGCUGACAUAAGUAACGAUAAAGCGGGUGAAAAGCCCGCUCGCCGGAAGACCAAGGGUUCCUGUCCAACGUUAAUCGGGGCAGGGUGAGUCGACCCCUAAGGCGAGGCCGAAAGGCGUAGUCGAUGGGAAACAGGUUAAUAUUCCUGUACUUGGUGUUACUGCGAAGGGGGGACGGAGAAGGCUAUGUUAGCCGGGCGACGGUUGUCCCGGUUUAAGCAUGUAGGCUGAUUGUCCAGGCAAAUCCGGAUAAUCAAGGCUGAGGUGUGAUGACGAGGCACUACGGUGCUGAAGUAACAAAUGCCCUGCUUCCAGGAAAAGCCUCUAAGCAUCAGGUAACAUCAAAUCGUACCCCAAACCGACACAGGUGGUCAGGUAGAGAAUACCAAGGCGCUUGAGAGAACUCGGGUGAAGGAACUAGGCAAAAUGGUGCCGUAACUUCGGGAGAAGGCACGCUGGUGUGUAGGUGAAGUCCCUGCGGAUGGAGCUGAGACCAGUCGAAGAUACCAGCUGGCUGCAACUGUUUAUUAAAAACACAGCACUGUGCAAACACGAAAGUGGACGUAUACGGUGUGACGCCUGCCCGGUGCCGGAAGGUUAAUUGAUGGGGUUAUCCGUAAGGAGAAGCUCUUGAUCGAAGCCCCGGUAAACGGCGGCCGUAACUAUAACGGUCCUAAGGUAGCGAAAUUCCUUGUCGGGUAAGUUCCGACCUGCACGAAUGGCGUAAUGAUGGCCAGGCUGUCUCCACCCGAGACUCAGUGAAAUUGAACUCGCUGUGAAGAUGCAGUGUACCCGCGGCAAGACGGAAAGACCCCGUGAACCUUUACUAUAGCUUGACACUGAACAUUGAGCCUUGAUGUGUAGGAUAGGUGGGAGGCUUUGAAGCGUGGACGCCAGUCUGCGUGGAGCCAACCUUGAAAUACCACCCUUUAAUGUUUGAUGUUCUAACGUUGGCCCCUGACCGGGGUUGCGGACAGUGUCUGGUGGGUAGUUUGACUGGGGCGGUCUCCUCCCAAAGCGUAACGGAGGAGCACGAAGGUUAGCUAAUCCUGGUCGGACAUCAGGAGGUUAGUGCAAUGGCAUAAGCUAGCUUGACUGCGAGCGUGACGGCGCGAGCAGGUGCGAAAGCAGGUCAUAGUGAUCCGGUGGUUCUGAAUGGAAGGGCCAUCGCUCAACGGAUAAAAGGUACUCCGGGGAUAACAGGCUGAUACCGCCCAAGAGUUCAUAUCGACGGCGGUGUUUGGCACCUCGAUGUCGGCUCAUCACAUCCUGGGGCUGAAGUAGGUCCCAAGGGUAUGGCUGUUCGCCAUUUAAAGUGGUACGCGAGCUGGGUUUAGAACGUCGUGAGACAGUUCGGUCCCUAUCUGCCGUGGGCGCUGGAGAAUUGAGGGGGGCUGCUCCUAGUACGAGAGGACCGGAGUGGACGCAUCACUGGUGUUCGGGUUGUCAUGCCAAUGGCACUGCCCGGUAGCUAAAUGCGGAAGAGAUAAGUGCUGAAAGCAUCUAAGCACGAAACUUGCCCCGAGAUGAGUUCUCCCUGAGACUUUAAGUCUCCUGAAGGAACGUUGAAGACGACGACGUUGAUAGGCCGGGUGUGUAAGCGCAGCGAUGCGUUGAGCUAACCGGUACUAAUGAACCGUGAGGCUUAACCUU
This 2900-nucleotide ribosomal RNA is filed under the name Klebsiella pneumoniae. Its description in RNAcentral is "bacterial LSU rRNA". It matches the Rfam family "Bacterial large subunit ribosomal RNA". Lineage: Bacteria; Pseudomonadati; Pseudomonadota; Gammaproteobacteria; Enterobacterales; Enterobacteriaceae. The record is from RNAcentral.